UGGCGGCGAUAGCGCGGUGGUCCCACCUGACCCCAUGCCGAACUCAGAAGUGAAACGCCGUAGCGCCGAUGGUAGUGUGGGGUCUCCCCAUGUGAGAGUAGGGAACUGCCAGACU
RNAcentral lists this ribosomal RNA (115 nucleotides) under Moellerella wisconsensis. Lineage: Bacteria; Pseudomonadati; Pseudomonadota; Gammaproteobacteria; Enterobacterales; Morganellaceae. The record is from RNAcentral.